AAUGAACGCUGGCGGCAUGCCUAACACAUGCAAGUCGAACGAGAGCUCCGGGACCUGGGGCGUAUGGGUGUGUAACGCGAGGGAACCUGCCCUUAGGUUUGGAAUAACUCUCCGAAAGGGGUGCUUAUACCGGACAAGGUCUUCGGACCAAAGAUUUAUUGACUUUGGAUGGGCGUGCGUUGGAUUAGCUAGUUGGUAGGGUAAAAGCCUACCAAGGCGACGAUUCAUAGCUGGUCUGAGAGGAAGAUCAGCGACACUGAGACUGAGACACGGCCUAGACUCCUACGGGAGGCGGGAGUGGGGGAUGUUGGACAGUGGGCGGAGGCCUGAUCCAGCAAUGACGCGUGAGUGAUGAAGGCCGUGGGGAUGUAAAGCUCUAUUACCCGGGAUGAUAAUGACGGUACCGAGAGAAUAAGCCCCGGCUAACUCCGUG
Molecule: ribosomal RNA, 433 nt
Filed under: uncultured bacterium
Lineage: Bacteria
Description: partial 16S ribosomal RNA
Rfam family: Bacterial small subunit ribosomal RNA
Source: RNAcentral